This 77-nucleotide transfer RNA is filed under the name Myxococcaceae bacterium. Its description in RNAcentral is "tRNA-Arg". Lineage: Bacteria; Pseudomonadati; Myxococcota; Myxococcia; Myxococcales; Myxococcaceae. The record is from RNAcentral.
GCGCCAUAGGGCGCGGACGCGCUCCCCGCAGGUUGCGGACCUGAAGGUCGCAUGUUCGAGUCAUGCUGGGCGCGCCA